GGGUUGUGAGGUUAAGCGACUAAGCGUACACGGUGGAUGCCCUGGCAGUCAGAGGCGAUGAAGGACGUGCUAAUCUGCGAUAAGCGCCGGUAAGGUGAUAUGAACCGUUAUAACCGGCGAUUUCCGAAUGGGGAAACCCAGUGUGACUCGUCACACUAUCAUUAACUGAAUCCAUAGGUUAAUGAGGCGAACCGGGGGAACUGAAACAUCUAAGUACCCCGAGGAAAAGAAAUCAACCGAGAUUCCCCCAGUAGCGGCGAGCGAACGGGGAGGAGCCCAGAGCCUGAAUCAGCAUGUGUGUUAGUGGAAGCGUCUGGAAAGGCGCGCGAUACAGGGUGACAGCCCCGUACACAAAAGCGCAUGUGCUGUGAGCUCGAUGAGUAGGGCGGGACACGUGGUAUCCUGUCUGAAUAUGGGGGGACCAUCCUCCAAGGCUAAAUACUCCUGACUGACCGAUAGUGAACCAGUACCGUGAGGGAAAGGCGAAAAGAACCCCGGCGAGGGGAGUGAAAAAGAACCUGAAACCGUGUACGUACAAGCAGUGGGAGCACCCUUUGGGGUGUGACUGCGUACCUUUUGUAUAAUGGGUCAGCGACUUAUAUUCUGUAGCAAGGUUAACCGAAUAGGGGAGCCGGAGGGAAACCGAGUCUUAAUUGGGCGUUAAGUUGCAGGGUAUAGACCCGAAACCCGGUGAUCUAGCCAUGGGCAGGUUGAAGGUUGGGUAACACUAACUGGAGGACCGAACCGACUAAUGUUGAAAAAUUAGCGGAUGACCUGUGGCUGGGGGUGAAAGGCCAAUCAAACCGGGAGAUAGCUGGUUCUCCCCGAAAGCUAUUUAGGUAGCGCCUCGUGAAUUCAUCUCCGGGGGUAGAGCACUGUUUCGGCUAGGGGGCCAUCCCGGCUUACCAACCCGAUGCAAACUGCGAAUACCGGAGAAUGUUAUCACGGGAGACACACGGCGGGUGCUAACGUCCGUCGUGAAGAGGGAAACAACCCAGACCGCCAGCUAAGGUCCCAAAGUCAUGGUUAAGUGGGAAACGAUGUGGGAAGGCCCAGACAGCCAGGAUGUUGGCUUAGAAGCAGCCAUCAUUUAAAGAAAGCGUAAUAGCUCACUGGUCGAGUCGGCCUGCGCGGAAGAUGUAACGGGGCUAAACCAUGCACCGAAGCUGCGGCAGCGACGCUGAUGCGUUGUUGGGUAGGGGAGCGUUCUGUAAGCCUGCGAAGGUGGCCUGUGAGGGUUGCUGGAGGUAUCAGAAGUGCGAAUGCUGACAUAAGUAACGAUAAAGCGGGUGAAAAGCCCGCUCGCCGGAAGACCAAGGGUUCCUGUCCAACGUUAAUCGGGGCAGGGUGAGUCGACCCCUAAGGCGAGGCCGAAAGGCGUAGUCGAUGGGAAACGGGUUAAUAUUCCCGUACUUGGUGUUACUGCGAAGGGGGGACGGAGAAGGCUAUGUUGGCCGGGCGACGGUUGUCCCGGUUUAAGCGUGUAGGUGUGUGUUCCAGGUAAAUCCGGUUCACUUUAACACUGAGGCGUGAUGACGAGGCACUACGGUGCUGAAGCAACAAAUGCCCUGCUUCCAGGAAAAGCCUCUAAGCAUCAGGUAACAUCAAAUCGUACCCCAAACCGACACAGGUGGUCAGGUAGAGAAUACCAAGGCGCUUGAGAGAACUCGGGUGAAGGAACUAGGCAAAAUGGUGCCGUAACUUCGGGAGAAGGCACGCUGACACGUAGGUGAAGUGAUUUACUCAUGGAGCUGAAGUCAGUCGAAGAUACCAGCUGGCUGCAACUGUUUAUUAAAAACACAGCACUGUGCAAACACGAAAGUGGACGUAUACGGUGUGACGCCUGCCCGGUGCCGGAAGGUUAAUUGAUGGGGUCAGCGCAAGCGAAGCUCCUGAUCGAAGCCCCGGUAAACGGCGGCCGUAACUAUAACGGUCCUAAGGUAGCGAAAUUCCUUGUCGGGUAAGUUCCGACCUGCACGAAUGGCGUAAUGAUGGCCAGGCUGUCUCCACCCGAGACUCAGUGAAAUUGAACUCGCUGUGAAGAUGCAGUGUACCCGCGGCAAGACGGAAAGACCCCGUGAACCUUUACUAUAGCUUGACACUGAACAUUGAGCCUUGAUGUGUAGGAUAGGUGGGAGGCUUUGAAGUGUGGACGCCAGUCUGCAUGGAGCCGGCCUUGAAAUACCACCCUUUAAUGUUUGAUGUUCUAACGUGGACCCGUGAUCCGGGUUGCGGACAGUGUCUGGUGGGUAGUUUGACUGGGGCGGUCUCCUCCUAAAGAGUAACGGAGGAGCACGAAGGUUGGCUAAUCCUGGUCGGACAUCAGGAGGUUAGUGCAAUGGCAUAAGCCAGCUUGACUGCGAGCGUGACGGCGCGAGCAGGUGCGAAAGCAGGUCAUAGUGAUCCGGUGGUUCUGAAUGGAAGGGCCAUCGCUCAACGGAUAAAAGGUACUCCGGGGAUAACAGGCUGAUACCGCCCAAGAGUUCAUAUCGACGGCGGUGUUUGGCACCUCGAUGUCGGCUCAUCACAUCCUGGGGCUGAAGUAGGUCCCAAGGGUAUGGCUGUUCGCCAUUUAAAGUGGUACGCGAGCUGGGUUUAGAACGUCGUGAGACAGUUCGGUCCCUAUCUGCCGUGGGCGCUGGAGAACUGAGGGGGGCUGCUCCUAGUACGAGAGGACCGGAGUGGACGCAUCACUGGUGUUCGGGUUGUCAUGCCAAUGGCACUGCCCGGUAGCUAAAUGCGGAAGAGAUAAGUGCUGAAAGCAUCUAAGCACGAAACUUGCCCCGAGAUGAGUUCUCCCUGAGACUUAGAGUCUCCUGAAGGAACGUUGAAGACGACGACGUUGAUAGGCCGGGUGUGUAAGCGCAGCGAUGCGUUGAGCUAACCGGUACUAAUGAACCGUGAGGCUUAACCUUACAACGCCGAAG
Molecule: ribosomal RNA, 2927 nt
Filed under: Salmonella enterica subsp. enterica serovar Schwarzengrund
Lineage: Bacteria; Pseudomonadati; Pseudomonadota; Gammaproteobacteria; Enterobacterales; Enterobacteriaceae
Also listed under: 1 other name
Description: bacterial LSU rRNA
Rfam family: Bacterial large subunit ribosomal RNA
Source: RNAcentral